UCAUUUGACGUUAGCUGCAGAAGAAGCACCGGCUAAUUCCGUGCCAGCAGCCGCGGUAAUACGGAGGGUGCGAGCGUUAAUCGGAAUUACUGGGCGUAAAGCGCAUGCAGGUGGUUUGUUAAGUCAGAUGUGAAAGCCCGGGGCUCAACCUUGGAAUUGCAUUUGAAACUGGCAGACUAGAGUACUGUAGAGGGGGGUAGAAUUUCAGGUGUAGCGGUGAAAUGCGUAGAGAUCUGAAGGAAUACCGGUGGCGAAGGCGGCCCCCUGGACAGAUACUGACACUCAGAUGCGAAAGCGUGGGGAGCAAACAGGAUUAGAUACCCUGGUAGUCCACGCCGUAAACGAUGUCUACUUGGAGGUUGUGGCCUUGAGCCGUGGCUUUCGGAGCUAACGCGUUAAGUAGACCGCCUGGGGAGUACGGUCGCAAGAUUAAAACUCAAAUGAAUUGACGGGGGCCCGCACAAGCGGUGGAGCAUGUGGUUUAAUUCGAUGCAACGCGAAGAACCUUACCUACUCUUGACAUCCACAGAAGUUUCCAGAGACGGUUUGGUGCCUUCGGGAACUGUGAGACAGGUGCUGCAUGGCUGUCGUCAGCUCGUGUUGUGAAAUGUUGGGUUAAGUCCCGCAACGAGCGCAACCCUUAUCCUUGUUUGCCAGCGAGUAAUGUCGGGAACUCCAGGGAGACUGCCGGUGAUAAACCGGAGGAAGGUGGGGACGACGUCAAGUCAUCAUGGCCCUUACGAGUAGGGCUACACACGUGCUACAAUGGCGCAUACAGAGGGCGGCCAACUUGCGAAAGUGAGCGAAUCCCAAAAAGUGCGUCGUAGUCCGGAUUGGAGUCUGCAACUCGACUCCAUGAAGUCGGAAUCGCUAGUAAUCGUAGAUCAGAAUGCUACGGUGAAUACGUUCCCGGGCCUUGUACACACCGCCCGUCACACCAUGGGGAGUGGGCUGCAAAAGAAGUGGGUAG
RNAcentral lists this ribosomal RNA (970 nucleotides) under Vibrio sp. Its description in RNAcentral is "bacterial SSU rRNA". It matches the Rfam family "Bacterial small subunit ribosomal RNA", at positions 465 to 1433 of the family's 1533-position model. The record is from RNAcentral. Lineage: Bacteria; Pseudomonadati; Pseudomonadota; Gammaproteobacteria; Vibrionales; Vibrionaceae.